This 2549-nucleotide long non-coding RNA is filed under the name Oncorhynchus kisutch (coho salmon). Its description in RNAcentral is "lncRNA (ENSOKIG00005032458.1)". The record is from RNAcentral. Lineage: Eukaryota; Metazoa; Chordata; Actinopteri; Salmoniformes; Salmonidae.
AUAGAGUCACACAGGAAGAACUGAUACUGGUUGAAAUAGGGAACAACGAACCAAUGAGGAGGCAACGCUAAUGAAGAAUGGUUGCCUCGACACCUCCGAGAACACAAUAUGUCCGUGUCCCAAAUGGGACGCAUUCUAGUUUUGACCACAAGACUGUUGUUCUCAGUCUGAGUGGAGUGUGUAGCUACGCUGUGUGUUUGCGUGCGUGCAUGCGUGUGUGUGUGUGUAGCUACGCAGCAGAGUUAGACCACAACCAAUCUGGUCAGAAAGAACCACACAGACAGGCCUCGUAGCAGGCAGGAAGGCAGGCAGGCAGGGAGGCAGGCAGGCAGACAGGCAGGCAGGGAGGGAGGGAGGGAGGUAGGCCGACAGGCAGGCAGGGAGGCAGGCAGGGAGGCAGGCAGGGAGGCAGGCAGACAGGCAGGGAGGCAGGCAGACAGGCAGGCAGGCAGACAGGCAGGCAGGGAGGCAGGCAGGCAGGCAGGGAGGCAGGCAGGGAGGCAGGCAGGGAGGCAAUCACCGAGGUUGAGACAGUACUCUAAAACCCACAGAUAGGUGUAGGGGCGGUGAGUCAAGCCCCUUGAUGAGGACUCACCGCUGGCCUACAUAGGCUGGAUAGUGGGUAAAGAUAUCUGAGGCUGCUGUACUUUCUCAUACAUUCAGGCACAUACUGAUGGUCAAAGCUAAACCGUUUUUAGAGUACUCUCUAUCCUGGAAAUUCAGAUGUUAGUUCAUUUACAGUCAAGUAGAGACAACAUUAUAAUGAUAAGUCCCUUUACUGCGGGCGCCGCCCUUGGACUCAGCAUAUCUUCCCCCAUUGUCUUCCUCGCUCACUAUCAUUUCAUUUUUUAAACGCCAAUAUAUUUGGAUGUGGUCGUCCAUGAAUAGCUGGCAGACAGAUAACAGUUCACAGUGAAUGGCGGCGUUUCGCUCCCCGGAUCCAGAAGGAGAGGACAGCAGAGAGGGUCACCUCCAUGACCAACACACAGAGCAUCAGCACCUCCAGCUGUUACAGAAACACAAAUAGUCCAAAGAAAAGUGUCAGGGACAGACCUUCAUCAAGCACCAUGCUGCCAUAUCCCAUUACUACACUACGUCAACUUUGAUGAGAAAAAAAACUAUCUACUUUUAGAACUAAUUACCUUUAUAUGAUGUUGAAGAUUGGGAUUCCAGGUAGGCAUGUCCAUGCCCAAAUCAACGCAUAUCAACACUCCUCCAACUACUGCUACGACCAUGCUGCCGAUGUUGACACACAGGCAGACCUACCGGUUCAUAAGACAGAGCGUUACAUGGAUCUUCUACUAUCAGCUACUGUGUGUUAACAUGAAAUAAAACUCAUCAAAGCCAAGGAUUCAAUCAAGGUUUGUAGUAAAUCUAGUCUAAUUUAAACAUGAAUAUCAGAACAGUCAAUGUAUUAACAAAUGUUUUAAUCUUUAAUCAAUUAAAACAUUUAACUCUUUGCUGGUCUGUUGUUUUUUCAUUUGUAAUUGUGUCUGUAUUCCAAUGUACAUUUUAUUGUGUAAAGGUUUUCUAAUCUAAAGUAAUCUAUCUUAAUCUAAUCUACCCAGGGGGCAAAACUGGUUCCAAUGCAGGCGAUUAUGACGUUAAUCUGGUUGUAGUUCAACCUGUUUUGCCCGCUGGGUAUUUCUGCAUUUCAAUCACAGGUAAAACUAUUGACUCACAGGUAAAACUAUUGACUCACAGGUAAAACGAUUGACUCACAGGUAAAACUAUUGACUCACAGGUAAAACUAUUGACUCACAGGUAAUACUAUUGACUCACAGGUAAAACGAUUGACUCACAGGUAAUACUAUUGACUCACAGGUAAAACUAUUGACUCACAGGUAAUAGUCUGGGGAAUUUGAACAACAGGUUGGAUAACAACCCAGCGAUGAAGAACUGAGGAGAGAAGAGAAGGAUCACAUUUAAUGGUCCUCACAUUGACAGCAAUUAUCAAUAGGUUUUAUAAGCGUGUUAUUCAAUAUUUUACUAUUGCUUAAUGAACAGAAAUUUGGCUGAACAGUUUUUUACUAAUUGAUUUGACUUAAUUGCUUAAAUUAUAAUUUAGUGAUAGUUACAUGAUCAGUAUAUUAUACACUGAAAUGAGAAUAUGACAUUCAGAAUUUUGUGUAAAACAUUUACCCUUAAAUGACAGUCAAUGCUAUUGAAUUGUGGGUAAAAACAAUAUAUGCAUCCAACAAGCUGUGAAUUUGACCCCAGAGUAGUAAUCUUGAAAACCUUCAUCAGAAGACUUUCAGUAUUUCCAAAGGGAUCCUCGACGUUUAAACAAAUAACAUGUAACGUUUAAAAGACAAUGCUGCCGCUACUCACUAGUAGUCCAGUGAAGGGCGCGACUCUGAACGUCGUUAAAAGGGACUGGCUCGCAUCCCGAGUGGCAGCAAACACAACUCCGACUGCAACACUGAGUAGACCGCUCGUCAUCUGCAAAGACUGUUGCAAACACAAACCCUCACAAAUUAACCGUUGAAAAUUAUCAUCCAUAAAUAUAUUUUCUGUGAAAUGCAUCACUAAAAGCAAGACCAGUCUAA